Molecule: long non-coding RNA, 10838 nt
Organism: Symphalangus syndactylus (siamang)
Lineage: Eukaryota; Metazoa; Chordata; Mammalia; Primates; Hylobatidae
Source: RefSeq, a predicted model, not a curated record
UGUCUCUGUAGAGAAACAAAAGGUGCAUCCUUCACAUAAAAGACUGAACUGGUUAGGGCUUUAGGCUUUAUCUUUAAAGGAUCACCAGGUCUUAUCUCCACACUGGAUUUUUAUCCUAUUAUGUUCCUCGGUUGGAAGUUUUACUUUUUAUUUAUUGUAUUUUGAGACGGAGUCUCACUCUGUCACCCAGAAUGGAGUGCAGUGGUGCAAUCUCGGCUCACUACAACCUCUGCCUCCCAGGUUCAAAGGAUUCUCCUGCCUUAGCCUCCGGAGUAGCUGGGAUUACAGCUGUGCACCACCACAUCUGGCUAAUUUUUGUAUUUUUAGUAGAGACAGGGUUUCACCAUGUUGGCCAAGUUGGUCUCGAACUUCUGACCGCAAAUGAUCCACCCACCUAGGCCUCCCAAAGUGCUGGGAUUACAGACAUGAGCCACUGCAGCUGGCCUAUUUCUCUUCUUACAGUACUCAAUAUUUCAACACGCAUACUUAAAAGUCCAAAGUUAAUCAGUAUUUCUAUUCCUACCAUAAACAACUUCCACAUAAUUUUUGGCUAAUUCUUAGUUUCAGCUUAUUUUGCCCCUCCAUAGCCAGCUCUCCCAGUUGGUUACACAAUCAUAUAAUUUUGGCCAGGUGUGGUGGCUCACGCUUGUAAUCCCAGCACUUUGGGAGGCCAAAGCAGACAGAUCGCCUGAGCCCAAGAGUUGGAGACCAGCUUGGGCAACAUAAUGACAAUUUCUACAAAUUAAAUUAGCUGGGUGUGGUGGUGUGCACCUGUGGUCCCAGCUACUCUGGGGUGCUGAGGCAGGAGGACUGCCUGAGUCCAGGAGGUUGAGGCUGCAGUGAGUUGUGACAGCGCUGCCACACUCCGGCCUAACAGAAUGAGAUCUCGUCUCAAAAAAAAAAAUGUAAUUUUUACAGUCAAUACUUAUUUACAUUUACUCCAAUUUGUUUUUUUAAAACCAACUUAUUGAUGCUUCAUCUCACUCCUGGUCUUUAUGCUUUAGCCUCUUUCUAGUUGAAAGAACUCUUCAGAGUUCUUUUUAGAGAAGACCUGAGCAGUAAACUCAGUUUUUGUUACAUGGAAUUAUUUUGAGACAGUCUUGCCCUGUUGCCCAGGCUGGAGUGCACUAGUGAGAUCUCAGCUCACUGCAAUCUCCGCCUCCCGGGUUCAAGUGAUUCUUGUGUCUCAGCCUCCGGAAUAGCUGGGACUACAGGCAUGUGUCACUGCGCCUGGCUAAUUUUUAUAUUUUUAGUAGAGAUGGGGUUUUGCCAUGUUGGCCAGGCUUGUCUUGAACUACUGACCACAGGUGAUCCACCCGCCUUGGCCUCACAGAGUUGGGAUUACAGGCAUGAGCCACCAUGCCCGGCCUACAUGGAAUUAUUUUGCCUUCAUGCUUAAAUGAUGAGUUAACUGGUAAAAAUAUAAGGUUUAAUGUUUUCCCUCAGUACUCUGUCUUAUGGCAUUUAUUACUACUGGUAAGUUUGCUCUCAGUGUUAUUUAUAAUGAACCUUUUCUGUAUCAGGUAAUUAAAAAAAAUUUUCUUCUUAGUUCUUGAUGUUCUGUUUCAAUCUGGUAUGUCUGGGACUUAAUUAGUUUUCGUUAGGAGCUCUGUGUACUCCUUUAAUCUGAGGACUUUUCUGGAAAUAUUUUGCCAUAAACUCAUGUUAAAUAUUGCUUCUCUUUCAUAUUUUAUAGUUUCUUCUGGGACUCCUAUUAGAAGUAACUUAGAUUUUUCUCUUCUAUCAUUGUCUCAAUUUUGCUUUCAUAUUUUGCAUCUUCUCUGUGGUAUAUUCUAGAUAAUUUUCUUAGAUCUUUCUUCCAACUUACCCUUUUCUUUAGCUGUUCACACCACUUCCACUGAAUUUUCAAUGAAAAUUGCUUUUUCAUAUCUAGAAUUUCAUUUGGGCUCUUUUCUAGAUCUUUUUCUUUUUUUCAUGAUAGUCUGUUCUUGCCUUAUAGAUUCUGUUCCUAUGAACAAUUUAAACACUGAUUUAGAGUCUUUUUCAGAGGACUAGGAAUCCCGACUUUUGCAUAUGUUGACUCAUGGCUAUUUAUGUCAUUUUUAGUUCUUAAAAGGUGAGCAUUUUAGGGAGCAAUUUUGCAUUUUUCUCUUCAAGAUCCAGUGUUUAUAUCACUUUCCAGACUGUACUUCUCUUGGCUGAGGAUUCUUGAUGGUGAUGGUAGUGUGCAUUCAGAUCUUAUAUCUAGCUUUGGGGCCCCCACUGGGGUUCUGAUUUCUAAAGGGUAGCUGAAAAUUGUACCAGUCCCCAUUUCCUAGAUAUUCUUCCAGAGUUGUCAUCUGGAAGAAUGGAAGGAAAUGCCAGUGAUUCACUGGUCUAACUCAUUUCUGUUUUAUUUCAACAAGCUUUUAAGGCACCUACAAAGUAAUAGCCCAAAAAAAGAACAGAAAUAUAUGGUCAGAAAUGUGGCUGGGUGCAGUGGCUCACACCUGUAAUCCCAGCACUUUGGGAGGCCAAAGUGGGCAGAUUGCUUGAGCCCAGGAGUUUGAGACCAGCCCACUUCUACUGAAAAUAGAAAAAAUUAGCUGGGCAUGGUGGUGUGCACCUAUAGCCCCAGUUACUUGGGAGGCUGAAGUGGGAGAUCACCUGAGCCCGGGAGGUUUACGCUGCAGUGAGCCACGACAGUACCACUGCACUUUAGCCUGGGUGACAGAUGAGAUCCUGCUUCCCCCGCUGCCUCCCUCAAAAAACAAAAAAAAAAGUGUUAAGUACACAAAGAUGUGAUGUAAAUGCUCAGGCUAGGAACAUGGAGAUAACACAAUGAGGAACCAAGCCUGAUAAGAAUUAGGCACAAAUGCCUGGCUUUGAAUGAUUAAUAUGUUUCUGAAAAGUUUUGUCCAAAUUGAUGUUUAUCCUAUGUCAAAUUACAUUUUAAAUUAUCUCCAAGGAAGCUCCCUACUUCAUUUGUCUCCUCAUUAAUAUUUAGUAAGUGCCUAGUCUGUGCCUAGCAGUGAAUUAGUUUGUUACAGGUAGAAGUAAACAGUUCUUGCUUUUCUGGGAAGCCCAGUGAGGGAGUAAAGACAAAGACAUACCUGGGAGAAAGGCAAUAUACAAUUCAGUGUUAAAUAAGUGAAAGACUAGUGAAAACAUCUUUUCCCUCAAAGAGAGCUGUGAAUACUCAGGCAAGUGGGCAGAAAUGUUGUCCCCUUCAACAUAUAUAUGGUUCUGUUAGUAUUUUAAUAUAAAAGUCCAUGGGUAUUGAUUUGACAAUACAGUAGGUAUGCUGUGGGGAGAGUGGUAAAACCAUACAAUGCAUCCAUGAAUUAGGAAAUAGAUAAGUCAGAGGAGCUGGGGAGAAUACCAGCUGGGAAAAAAGAACAGGCAGUUGCCAGAUGCCAGGCUGCAACUGAGGGUUACAAAAGGGUUAAAGCUCCACUGGUCAGAGUGAAAAUGGGAGGGUUCCUUGGGGUGUGCUCUCUACCCCUCCCCUUCAUCUGAAGAAUGGCAAAAAGGGCCUCAAGGAGACCACUUAGAACUUGGUGUGUGUUCUUUGCAGUUUGGGGACACAGAAGCUUAGUGUCCCACUUUUGCCUAAGAAAUAUAAAGGAUGAGAAACCAUGCAAGAGCCAUAGUUAGGGAACUGAAAAAGGGUCUAAGGGCAUGUUUCCAGGUGCUAGGCGGCCAGCAAAUGGUUGAGAGGGCCACCUGGAGAGGUGAAAUGCAUGUAUACCACGGAACAUUCAGGGAAGAGUCCUAAAGGACCAGCUGCAGUGGAGAUGCAUUUGCCCCUGUCAAGAGGAAGACUCCCAGCUGUGGGGCCAGGGGUCUCCAAAGGACCUAUACACGAAAAAGUGUCCACGUGACAAAGAGUUGUAUAAUAUUUAAAUGUAUCGCGUGGUCAAGAGAAACAAUUUCCUAUGUUCUUAGCACCCCACACCCUCAACCCCAGAGAAAUCAGUAGGGCAGGCCACACAAAACUGAGGGAAGAUGCUGAAUUUUAGCCCAGUGUGUUUUGUUUUGGAUUUUUCUUUUUUGAGACAGGGUCCUGCUCUGUCACCCCGUCUGAAGUGCAGUGGCGUGAUGACGGCUCACUGCAGCCUCAACUUCCCAGGCUCAAGUGAUCCACCUCAGCCUGCCAAGCAGCUGGGACCACAGGCACACACCACCACGCCCAGCUAACUUUUGGUUCAGCGUUCUUGAAAAUUACAUUGGGUUAUACUUUUUUUUUUUUUUUUUCUUGAGACAGGGUCUCACUUUGUUGCCCAGGUUGGAGUGCACUGGUGUGAUCACAGCUCACUGCAGCCUCGACCUCCCAGGCUCAGGUGAUCCUCCCACCUCAGCCUCCUGGGUAGCUAGGACUACAGGAACACAUCACCACACCAACUAAUUUUUGUAAUUUUUGUGGAGAUGGGGUUUUGCCAUGUUGCUCAGGCUGAUCUCCAACUCCUGGGCUCAAGCGAUCUGCAUGCUUUGGCUUCCCAAAGUGCUGGGAUUAUAGGUGUGAGCAACUGUACAUGGCCACACUGGGUUAUUCUUAUCAAUUGCUGCACUGGGAUGGCCAGAGGGAUUUUCAUGAGUAUCUAGAAUUUAUGGGACCUGCCCUAGAUUUCACCAAGGGGCUCUAGGUGGAAGCUAGAGGGGCAAGGGAGUGGUAGGCAGGCAAAGAGAACAAACCUGUUUUCUGAUUUCAUGCAAAAUAAUCAAGUAAUUUUCCAUGUUAUAUUACAUGGCCAGGGCUACCGUGAUGACAGCUGUCUGAGAAGGGUCAGGGCAUGGUACUCUCCAUCCUCCAAGGUAUUCAAAACACAGCCCUAAACUCCACCUUCUGGGAAGGGGACAUGCUAAAGCAGGUGAUGGCUAAGAGAACCGUCAGGGCAAGACCUGUGAGGGUAUGCCUUCCAGGUAGAAGUGCCACGUGGUUAUUAAAUAUCUCUGGAGCACCUGUUUUGCCAUGCUUGUGGGCAGGACCUCAGCAGGGCUGAAGAGAAACCAGAGUACAGCCCAAAUGAAAGGAGGAGGAAGCACAGAUCGCAGGAAGCAUCCAUCCCUUCAGCCUGGCUCUGGGAGUUCAUCUUUGUACACCUCUUCUCACAGCUAAAGAGUAUGGUUAGGCAAUGAGGAGUUAAGGAGGUGGUCCUACUGGACCAUGGAUGCCCAACGGUUCAGCCAGGCCUGCCAGGAGACUGAACAAAGAUUUCAGCCCAAGCCUUAGCUGACAUCAUGGGUGAUUGGCUGUAGGGUAGGUCCUCGGCUUGCUCUCCUGGACUAGGCCAGCCUGGCUACCUGUUCAUGUGGCUGGUUGAGGACUCCUAGGUUCACCAUUUCUUCAUCCCUUGCCUUGGCAAACAUAACUAGCAAAACCUGCUAAGCAAGGUCCUGGAAGGGGGUGUGUGCACAUACACACAAAAUCUUGAGUUUAACCACAGAAAACAAUUGUAUGGCUAAUUCAUUUAUAAAUCAAAUUACUACUCCCAUAACUUAAAGACACAGGUAUUUUCAUAUAUGGUAUUUGUUAAUAGUAGAGCAUACUGUUUUACAUGCUCAUUCUUGACACAAACUGUCAAUGCCACAAAAUCUACAUUAAAACCAAAAUGGCAAGGCUUGAAUAUUCUGAAAGGCUUACCUCAUUUCUAGAUUCACUGGUCUUUUCUGCCUCCCAAUCAGGUUUCUCUGCUAUUUUGUUCCCAUCAUCAUUAUUCUGCUGAAGUGAGUUCUCCUUCUGGGCUGACACCCUUUCUUCAUUUUCCUCAUGCUGGGAACUAUGAUCCACAGCUUCGUGCUUUUCUCUUAGCACCUCGUUCUCCUAUAAAAGUACCAAAUUUCAUCAAAUAAGCAAACAGUCUUUAAAACUGCAUUGUGCUUAUUGUUCAGGGACCAUGAAAACCCACAAGUCAAAAGCCAAGACUGGCAUUUCAUUAUUUCAGCAUCAAAGAAACAUUUAAUUCAGAAACAAAGGUCAGUGUUAUAUCCUGUCCUGAGACAGGCUGUUCUAAUCUGUGCAAUUUAAAUUAACAUGCACUUAUAAAGCCGCUGAAUUUAAAAUACUCAUGAAUUAGAUUAGAUUUGGAAAUUAAUGUUGCCAGCAGGCAGUUUUAAUUUUCUGUUGAAAAUUGAUCAAACAGCUAAGUUGGAAGCAAACACUGAUCAAAUAUGGAAACUAUUAUUAUAAACUAUUAAUUGUGGUUCUCUCUGGAAGGUUGGCAACAGGGUGGGAAAGAGUUUACUUCACUUUAUACAUGUCUAUAACCGUGAAUAUUUUACAACAAACACAUAUUGCUUUAUUUGUUUAUUUAUUGAGUCUCGCUCUGUCGCCCAGGCUGGAGUGCAGUGGCGAGAUCUCGGCUCACUGCAAGCUCCGCCUCCCGGGUUCACGCCAUUCUCCUGCCUCAGCCUCCUGAGUAUCUGGGACUACAGAAGCCUGCCACCACGCCCAGCUAUUUUUUUUUUUUUUUUUUUUUUUUUGGUAUUUUUAGUAGAGACGGGGUUUCACCGUGUUAGCCAGGAUGGUCUCAAUCUCCUGACCUCAUGAUCCAUCCGCCUCCGCCUCCACCUCCCAAAGUGCUGGGAUUACAGGCAUGAGCCACCACGCCCAGCCAUAUUCCUUUUAUAAUCAGGAAAAUGACAAAUGUAAAACAUCUCCACAGAUCUACACUUAUUUGCCCAGAUAAGUCCUUCUACCUUAAUUUGCUUUAUAAAUAAGGAGGCCUAAAUAAUUAAAAGGCUAGAGAAUUCUUCUAAACAUUCAAAUAUGGUUACCAUUUAGAGUGUACUGCAUAUUCAGAUAGUUUCAACUAUCAUGUUAAAAGCUCUCUGGAUGUAUUUUUGCCCCUAUAACAUUAAAGCUUGUCAAACUUUUUCACAAUUUCUGUUUCUUCCAGGAACAGGACACACUGGCACACCCUUUUCCCACCAAACCACAGAAAAAACAUUUUUAAAUGAAGGUUGAAGAAAUGGAAAUUUACAGAUGCCAGAAGAAAGGAGAAAAAUCAGGCAAGAUAAAAAAGGAGGCUGAUGUUCUGCUGGUCCACUUGGUUUACUGGCUCCUCUGUCUGACUGUGCCUUCCCUCUAGACACUGUAGAUGAUGUUUAGUCCUAGCUCAAUCAGUCUCUCCCUUUGCACAUUCCGUUACAACCCUGCUCAUGUGCUCAAGAUAUUGCUCCUGCUACUCUUCCCUCUCUUCUGCAUCAAUAGUUCUUUCUCAUCGACUGGACAAUUCCCAUCAGCCCACUAUCAUACAUGAAUACCCCCACCUUUAAAAACCCCUCCCUUGGUCCCACACUAGUCUUUAGAUCCCAUUCCAUUUUUCUGCUCCCCUUUAGAGCAAAAACCUCCAGAGUUAUCUGUACUCAGUGUAUUUUCUCUUCACCUAUCAGCAAACUUUGGAUUAGUUACCAUCUCCUCCUGGAAACAGCUUCUUCACCUGGCAUCCAAGUAUUUCUCUAUUCUCCUACCUCAUCAAGAACUUCUGCUUUGCUGAUUCAUCCCCUUGAUAUCUAAACAUAGCAAUGUCCCAAGGCUCAGUCCUCAGGUCCACCAAGCACUCUCCCACUUCACAGCCCUUCUACUUACAGCCCUUUCUGCCUAUAAGCUCUCUCAACCCUGUUAUCCUCCUGACCCCAGGUCUCUUCAAAUAUUUACCAUCUCAGUUUUCUUUCUUAAUCUCUGUAUAUAAAAAACUACAUCAAAAUCUUUUUCCCUUAUCUUGCUUUAUUUUUUCUCCAUAGCAUUUAGCACCAGCUGAUAUACUGCCAUGUUUAUUUGUUUGCUGUUUGUCCUACUAGAAUGCUAGUUUUUUGAAGGCAAGGGCUCUGUCUGCCUGGUUCCUGCUGUUGGCCACUUCCUAUCCCAGAUUCUGGCACAUAACAGACCCUUACUACAUAUUUGUUGAAUAGCUGAACUCUUAGACACAAUAUCCUAAGACUUUGAUAGAGAUCUUACUUCUGAUAGAUUGUUCUUUCCUGCAACAAUACUGAUUCCUAUAUAAAUCUGGGGAAGGAAGAAAAGGUGACUGAUGACUUUUUACCUCUCAGCUUUUGCCAAGGUAAGGUUUUUUGUGGUUGUUAAAUCUGAAUAUAAUUAAAUUAAAAACUUUGGAUACCCGAGGCAGCUAACUUUGUUCAAAAACUUGCUGGUGGUAGAGAGAGAAACUUCUAAUCUCGAAAUCAAAUGAUCUAUUUUAGAACCAUGAAGCAAAGUCCCCUAAAUCUGUAAUAUAUGCAUUAAUACAACACACAUGGACACACACAAACAUGCAAACACAAGAACGUCACCUAUAUUACAUAAAUAAUAACAGGGAAACAAGUGUUUGAUGUAGAUCAAGCCCAUAGAGGAACUGAUCAAGCAAACUUUAGUCUGGGAAGGAUUUUUUUGUGGGGGAAACUUUUUGAGUGUAAUGAAUUGGUAACAAAGGUAUGUAAGACGUCUUGUCUGAAAACUCAGGAAGAGGACUGGAGGCAGAGAAAUUCUAUAUGAUCAAAAUUCACACUACAGGAAGCCAAAAUUAGGUAUAACAUAAUAAUGGAUCAUAACUCAUUGAAUAAAAUGAGUUGAAUAAAAGAAUCAAUGAGUGCACUCAAAUAUAAACAAAUAAAUGAAGGAAAAAGGAAAUCUCUUAUAGUAGAAUACAAAUAAUAAAUAUAAAAGGAGAAUGAUGAAUUAGAAAACCAUCAAUGGAUGCUUAAUUUAAGGAGUGAAAAUUUUAUGAGAAAUAAGAUACUUAAAUAGUCUCAAAGUAUCGCUCUGCAGAUUACUUGUUAAUUACAAAAAGAAAAAUAAUAACACUACAGGAGAAAUCUGGCAGACACCACCUAAAUCAAAUGGUCAACUCUAUCAUCAAAAUACGGAGUUAAACCAACAUCGUGGUCUCCUGAUAUGGAGGACACAAUACCAUUUCUGUGGUUUUCUCACCAAAAAUUCAUAAUCUCAAUCUAAUCAUUGAGGAAACAUCAGAUAAAUCAACAUUGGGGGUCAUUUUUACAAACUAACUGAUUGAUGCCCUUCAACAAUCUAAAGGUGAAGAAACACAGAGAGGAGUGUUUCCACAUUACAGGUGACUAAAGAGACUCGGCAAAUACAUACUGACAGAUUCUGAAAACGGACUGUAGAUUAGAUAGUAGCCUUACAUUCAGAUUAAAUGUCCUGAUUUGAUAACUGGGUAUAGAAAAGAAAAUCACUGUUCUUAGGAAAUAUACACUAAUAAGUAUCUGGGUGAUGAGGGAUGCAAUGGUUUCAAUUCACAUAUGUAUACAGAGAGACAUCGUUAUUAAUAUAGCUAAAUGAGGCAAGACAUAAAUAGGUAAAUCUGGGUAAAGGGUACAUAUAUGCCAUUUUUUAAAAGUUUGAAAUUAUAUUUAGCUAAAAGAUUCACCUAAAAAUGCCUACAUAGCAAAAUCACUUUGGCUAAGGCAACAGCAAAGGGUUAUCCCAGAAUAAUUCUCCCAUUAAAUUUUCUGUUUAUUUGUAUUUUGCCCCCAAGUGUAUAGACAUAAAAACUUUAGUAUUUUCAACUCUUCUAACAUUUAAAUUUCUUAUUUCAUUUUCUUGUCUAUCUGCUUUGGCUAUGCUUCCCAAAUAAUGCUAAAUAAUAAUGGUGAUACCUGAUAUUCUUGCUGAUGAAUUUAAUGAGAAUGCUUCACCAAUAAGGAUGACUUGUAUUUGAGAUACAGUCAGUCAUUUUAAAUUGAGUAUCAAAUACAACACUAGUACUGGGAAUACGAUAGUAAAAAAUACAAUCAGACCCUGCCCCCUUCACAUCUUACAUUCUAUUUUUGUUUUUUUGUAGAGAUGGGGUCUUGCUAUGUUGCCCAGGCUAGUCAAACAAUUCUUCCUCCUUGGCCUCCCAAAACACUGGGAUUAUAGGUGUGGGUCAUCACUCCUGGCCAGAUCUCACAUUCUAAAGAGAGAGGGAACCAAAAAUACAAGUGAACUAAUGAAAUAAAUGCAAGUUAUGGUAAGUGAAAGAGCUAGCUAGCUAUAUGAAAAAAGGAGACAAAGGAAUUCAAGGCAUAGAUAAUAUCCAAACAGUAUACUCAUUUGCCUCUUACCACAGUUUAUUUAACUGGCUUUUUUUUUUUUUUCUUUUCAGAAGGAGUUUUGAUCUUGUUGCCCAGGCUGGAGUGCAAUGGCGCGAUCUCAGCUCACUGCAACCUCCACCUGCAGGGUUCCAGCGAUUCUCCUGCCUCAGCCUCCCAAGUAGCUGGGAUUACAGAGACGGGGUCUCGCCAUGUUGCCCAGGCUGGUCUUGAACUUCUGAGCUCAAGCAAUCCUCCCACCUCAGCCUCCCAAAGGGCUGGGAUUACAGGCUGAGCCACUGCGCCUGGCGACUCUCAAGAAUCUGGAUGGCAGACUGAAUUCCACAGACUGAGGGAAGAAAAAAACUUUAACCUGCACAGACUUAGGUAUUGAAUAAGUAUCUUCUUGGAUGGUCCUUCCUGUAUUCAUUCAACUUGUCUUUCUUGAGAGCCUAUUAUGAAGCACGUAUAAUAAACACAACAAGCAUCAUAAGUGAUAAAUGAGAGGAAGCAUUUCCCCCAGGGCUAGUGGGAUGCAUGUGGAGAUGUGCAGCCCAGGUCCCCUUCAAAGGAGGACUUGUGGCUAUUCCCACAUACCUGUGGGCAGCCAGCCUCCAGCAGCCAAAAGUCGCCUCCCCUAAGGUCACACCUGUCCCAGUGUGCCCACAUCCCAUGACCCGUCACCCGUCAAGAUGGCCACAAGGCCAUCUUGGCCCAAUGUGGAACAAGUCUGAUGCAUCCAUGUCAGCCCAGGUGCUGGGUUCUGCCAGCCUGCAUCACAGUUCGACUUCUGCUUCUGUCUAAUCCUGCCUGUCUCCAGUUAUUGAUCCCAAUGGCUCCCCCUAAUAAACCUCCUUCACACUAAA